Molecule: long non-coding RNA, 1331 nt
Organism: Brassica rapa (field mustard)
Lineage: Eukaryota; Viridiplantae; Streptophyta; Magnoliopsida; Brassicales; Brassicaceae
Source: RefSeq, a predicted model, not a curated record
GCUGUACAAAUGCGCAUCUAACACUACUAAAAGCCGAAUAAGAAGAGCAACGAGCGUGCCACGUAGGAUUUUUUAUUCAGGCCAAUCAUGAAGCUCUGUUUUGCCACGUCACUUUUAUUUUGUCGACAAAAAAUUUAAAAGGUCCAGUAAAUCUGGGCUGAACAAAAAAAAAUAGACCUAUAUAGAACAGCCCAUAUCUUAUUCUACGCAGAAUGUUCGUCGCCUUCAACUCCGACUCUUCCAAUUCACUAUUCUAAUCUCUGCAAUCUCUCUGUAAUUAUUACACCCCAAUCUUGCUCAUUCAAUUCUGAUAUUUUCUCCUAUCUUCAUUAGAGAUUAUCGUUCCACCUUCCUUUGUUUUUCCUGUUAUAUAAACCCCUUGAUGAUAUGAUAAGACAGGUCCGUUAACUAUUGUCAUUCCAGCCUGAGUUAUCUAAAAUAUGAACCCUCGAUUCCAGAUUCAUAACACAAUGACAAUUUGUUGUUCUCUACAUUUGAAAGUCAGUCGUAGAACUCGGCCUCACGCUGGUGCUGAUCGUCUUCUCCGUCGUCGUUUUAGAAGCUUGGAGAAGGAGACACAGUAACGUUUCUGUCGACACCGUGACAACUACACUCGAGGGUCCUACAUCUUAAAAACAGGUACUGUCUGAAUUCAAUAUAUUUUUUCUGGGAUUUUUCUGUUAGUGUGUUUACAGUUAAUGGAACUGAGAAAAGGUCUUGCCUUUGAAUCCUAUUAGCCUAUAGAACGUUUAAAGACGAGAGCUUUGACAUUAUUAUUAUUAUUAGUAUUUGUAGGAGAGUUUGUCUAACGAUGUGUGUUGUUUAAGAAAUAAAAGAGUAAAACAGACAGAUCGUGGAUGCGCAGUUGUAUGAUAAUAAUUUCAAGAGAGGAGCAAGCAAAAAGCUUCACUUGAGAAGGAAAUUCAUCAUACUGUCGGUAAAAAGAUAAGAAGAAAAGUUGAUGACGAGAUCAACAACAGAUUGAGUUUGGGAACACUUUUCUUCCAGCCUAACUUCCUGGUUACGGUUGAGCAGAUUCUUGAAGAUGCUCCCAAAGUCUUAGAUCUGCGAUUGGCUACUUUAUGAAAUCCAUUGAAGGGACAUGCUGGAUUAUCUAAUGAUGAUAAAGACGAAAACGGAAGGACUCUAGAGGUACAUGAAAUUAUCGAUACCUUUUUGAUGUAUCUUAAUACGGGUCAUGAAUCCUCUGGACACACGCAUUAUUUGGGCUACCUCCUCAGAUACUACAGAAGAUAAAUGUAAAAUAAUAAUAUAUGUUUAUAUAAUCCUUUUCCAUUUAUUUUUACAAGCUUGAAUAGUAAUUUUCCUUA